UCCCCUUGUUUUCUGACUGCUGCCAGCACUUAUUCAUCCUAGCUCAGUCCUGCUGAAUUUCAAAGGACAUUUGAAUCACAACAUCGCCAUCUGGCUCUUUGGCAGGAGAGGGAAGGGUUCAGCAGAGUCCAGUCAGCUGCCGAGCUUUGUUGUUCUAGUCAGGUGAUAAAAAAAGAGAAUUCGUCAUGCGAUAGGCCGAACCGGAGGAAUCCCAGGCUACCCUAGGAUCUCAUAAAUGUUAUUCACCACCAUUUUGAAGCAUUAAUAGUGGUAUGGUCCUGAAUCAGAAGAUUGCAAACAAGCUUCCUAGAGUUUUCUAUGAACAGGAUUCUCUUCAGGGCCCACAACUGCUAGAAGCAAAAUUGCCUUCUUCACCAUGGGACACAUGGAGUUUUGAUGUUUCUUCAGCCUUUAUUGAGGAGAGCCAUUGAUUCUGUGGGUCUCGUUAAGUUGGAAGAGCACUGAGGCCCAAAACUGCUGGUAAGGGAAGAUGAAAUUAGGUUAGCAGGGCAUACAAGGAGAUAUAUUUAAUUAUUUGGGAAAGCUGAGCAUCUGGAAUAAGAUGGCUUAU
Molecule: long non-coding RNA, 571 nt
Filed under: Pogona vitticeps (central bearded dragon)
Lineage: Eukaryota; Metazoa; Chordata; Lepidosauria; Squamata; Agamidae
Description: lncRNA (ENSPVIG00000009722.1)
Source: RNAcentral